This 278-nucleotide long non-coding RNA is filed under the name Aedes aegypti (yellow fever mosquito). RNAcentral's name for it is "lncRNA AAEL022525". Lineage: Eukaryota; Metazoa; Arthropoda; Insecta; Diptera; Culicidae. The record is from RNAcentral.
UUUUAAUUUGUGCAACAUACUCACACAUUUGCAUUUGACAAUAUUGAACUACAUUUUAACAGUUCGACAAAUAGUUACAUUUUGUUGGUAUUUGUGAGCGACAAUCUAGCGUUGAGUGUAGAAAAAAUCGCCGAUUGCCGUCGAAGGAAAACAGUCGAGUUAAGCUGAAAUCAUAUUUACAAAACAGCAAUUCACAUCAAAAAAUGACAACUGCGAUCGACCCAGAACUGCGCACCAAAAUCGAUGCCGCUUGCCGGAUGGAGGAGGAAUUCACCAAA